RNAcentral lists this ribosomal RNA (372 nucleotides) under uncultured bacterium. RNAcentral's name for it is "bacterial SSU rRNA". It matches the Rfam family "Bacterial small subunit ribosomal RNA", at positions 524 to 898 of the family's 1533-position model. The record is from RNAcentral.
GACGAAGGAUGCAAGCGUUAUCCGGAUUCAUUGGGUUUAAAGGGAGCGUAGGUGGAUUUGUAAGUCAGUGGUGAAAGCCGGCAGCUUAACUGUCGAACUGCCAUUGAUACUGCAGAUCUUGAGUAUGGUUGCUGUGGGCGGAAUAUGACAUGUAGAGGUGAAAUUCAUGGAGAUGUCAUAGAACACCGAUUGCGAAGGCAGCUCACAAAACCAUUACUGACACUGAGGCUCGAAAGUGCGGGGAUCAAACAGGAUUAGAUACCCUGGUAGUCCGCACUGUAAACGAUGAUUACUCGCUGCUAGGAGGUAACUUUUAGUGGCUAAGCGAAAGCGAUAAGUAAUCCACCUGGGGAGUACGCCGGCAACGGUGAA